UAUAAAUAACUAUUUUAUAAUAAUUGAAUAGCCGCAAUUCUGUGCUAAGGUAGCAUAAUCAUUUGCUUUUUAAUUAAAAGCUAGAAUGAAAGGUUAAACAUUUAAAUUUCUUUAUUAAAAAUAUAUUUUUAAUUUAUAUUAAAUAUAAAAAUAUAUUUAAAAAAAAAAAAGACGACAAGACCCUAUUAAACUUUACUUAUGUUAAACUGGGGCAGUUAUUUAAUAAAAAUUUUAAAUUUAAUAUUUAUCAACAAAUUUCUAAUAAAAUUAAAUUAAUCAAGUUACUAUAGGGAUAACAGCGUUAUAUUUUUUAAAAGCUCAUAUUAAAAAAAUUGAUUGCGACCUCGAUGUUGAAUUAUA
Molecule: ribosomal RNA, 360 nt
Filed under: Anelosimus exiguus
Lineage: Eukaryota; Metazoa; Arthropoda; Arachnida; Araneae; Theridiidae
Description: partial 16S ribosomal RNA
Source: RNAcentral